RNAcentral lists this ribosomal RNA (177 nucleotides) under Oesophagostomum venulosum. Its description in RNAcentral is "partial 28S ribosomal RNA". The record is from RNAcentral. Lineage: Eukaryota; Metazoa; Nematoda; Chromadorea; Rhabditida; Strongylidae.
GUGGAACCGGAGAGAGUUGACGUAGUCAGGUAACUAAGUUUGCCAAAGUCGCUUGAUUGUGACCGAGGGAGAAGUAUGUUGCCUACGGCUGCGCUGACAGCACUGGCUGUGCGUUCCGAACCGUCUGCGUUGCCCACCUCGGUGGUGUCUUGCUUUCGGGUAGGUUUGUCGUGGCUA